CCGUUGUAGCAAUACGAUGGAAAGUCUAGUGGCGAACGGGUGCUUAACACGUGGGCAACCUGCCAAAAAGUGGGGGAUAGCUCGCCGAAAGGCGAAUUAAUACCGCAUGUGAUUAGAGAGGACAUCCUUUCGAAAUUAAAGUCGGGGCAACCUGACGCUUCUUGUGGGGCCCGCGGCCUAUCAGCUAGUUGGUGAGGUAACGGCUCACCAAGGCUUUGACGGGUAGCUGGUCUGAGAGGACGACCAGCCACACUGGGACUGAGACACGGCCCAGACACCUACGGGUGGCAGCAGUCGAGAAUUUUUGACAAUGGGGGAAACCCUGAUCGAGCGACGCCGCGUGGAGGAUGAAGGUCUUCGGAUUGUAAACUCCUGUCAUUGGGGAACAAGGUGCAUACGUUAACUGCGUGUGCAUUGAUAGUACCCGAAGAGGAAGAGACGGCUAACUCUGUGCCAGCAGCCGCGGUAAUACAGAGGUCUCAAGCGUUGUUCGGAUUCAUUGGGCGUAAAGGGUGCGUAGGCGGCGCGGUAAGUCGGGUGUGAAAUCUCGGGGCUUAACUCCGAAACUGCAUUCGAUACUGCCGUGCUUGAGGACUGGAGAGGAGACUGGAAUUUACGGUGUAGCGGUGAAAUGCGUAGAUAUCGUAAGGAAGACCAGUGGCGAAGGCGGGUCUCUGGACAGUUCCUGACGCUGAGGCACGAAGGUCAGGGGAGCAAACGGGAUUAGAUACCCCGGUAGUCCUGACAGUAAACGGUGCACGUUUGGUGUGGGAGGAUUCGACCCCUUCUGCGCCGGAGCUAACGCGUUAAACGUGCCGCCUGGGGAGUACGGUCGCAAGAUUAAAACUCAAAGAAAUUGACGGGGGCCCGCACAAGCGGUGGAGUAUGUGGCUCAAUUCGAUGCAACGCGAAGAACCUUACCAGGCCUUGACAUGCAUCUCUAAGUUGGUGAAAGCCAGCGAGUCCCGCAAGGGACAAUUUGCACAGGUGCUGCAUGGCUGUCGUCAGCUCGUGUCGUGAGAUGUUGGGUUAAGUCCCGCAACGAGCGCAACCCUCGUCCUAUGUUGCCAGCGGAUAAUGCCGGGGACUCAUAGGAGACUGCCGGGGUCAACUCGGAGGAAGGUGGGGAUGACGUCAAGUCAUCAUGCCCCUUAUGUCUUGGGCUUCACACAUGCUACAAUGGCCGGUACAAAGGGCUGCUAAACCGCAAGGUGGAGCGAAUCCCAAAAAGCCGGUCUCAGUUCGGAUUGGGGUCUGCAACUCGACCCCAUGAAGUCGGAGUCGCUAGUAAUCGCAGAUCAGCAACGCUGCA
This 1312-nucleotide ribosomal RNA is filed under the name uncultured bacterium. RNAcentral's name for it is "partial 16S ribosomal RNA". It matches the Rfam family "Bacterial small subunit ribosomal RNA", at positions 71 to 1361 of the family's 1533-position model. The record is from RNAcentral.